AUUAUUCUUUAUAUAUAUAUUUUUUAUGAUACCAAAUUCGUUUUUUUGUCACUACUAAAAAUAUCUAGAUAUAUCAUUAAACUAAUUGUUAAGCCAGUGAUAAUAUUACCUUUUAUGAUAGAUAAAUUCAAUCAUAGUUAUCUAAAUAUCAUCCAAAUGAUAUUCUUUAGUUAUCUAGAUACUACAUUGAUGGAACACCAUUUUAUUUUUAUUAAUUUCUAAGUCUACGUUUGAGGCGGUAUUAUUCUAAUGAAACAUUCGAAGUAGCACAACUAAAGUACAUUGUUGGCUCGAGUUUGAUUAAACUCCUCGAGAGCGAAAACAUACAAUUAUUCGAAGAGAAAUAUCGUUGAAAUUCUUCUCUUGUGCAAAAUGGGAAGUCCACAAUUUCGAAGACAAAUCGAGCUAACCUUCUUGUUUAAUAGAAGCAAUACAUUUCAAACAGACUACUGGUUACAUUAGUACAACGUUCCGUGCAGUAUAUUUACUUACGGGUGAAUCAUUUUAUCAGACAUUUUCACAAUGUAUAAAAAAUAAAUAUUCAAUGCUGUAAUAUUACUACAUUCA
Daktulosphaira vitifoliae (grape phylloxera) is the source of this 567-nucleotide long non-coding RNA. RefSeq lists it as uncharacterized. The transcript has 2 exons. The record is from RefSeq and is a predicted model, not a curated record. NCBI's taxonomy places the organism in Eukaryota, Metazoa, Arthropoda, Insecta, Hemiptera, Phylloxeridae.